This 239-nucleotide ribosomal RNA is filed under the name uncultured Lactobacillus sp. Its description in RNAcentral is "partial 16S ribosomal RNA". It matches the Rfam family "Bacterial small subunit ribosomal RNA", at positions 123 to 355 of the family's 1533-position model. Lineage: Bacteria; Bacillati; Bacillota; Bacilli; Lactobacillales; Lactobacillaceae. The record is from RNAcentral.
AACCUGCCCCAUAGUCUGGGAUACCACUUGGAAACAGGUGCUAAUACCGGAUAAGAAAGCAGAUCGCAUGAUCAGCUUUUAAAAGGCGGCGUAAGCUGUCGCUAUGGGAUGGCCCCGCGGUGCAUUAGCUAGUUGGUAAGGUAAAGGCUUACCAAGGCGAUGAUGCAUAGCCAGUUGAGAGACUGAUCGGCCACAUUGGGACUGAGACACGGCCCAAACUCCUACUGGAGGCAGCAGUA